UUGCUAUUCACUUCUGCAGCACAUGUACUAAAUUUGGAGGGGUACAGAGAGGAUUAACAUGGCCCCUGCACAAGGAUGACAUGCAAAUUCAUGUAGUAUUUUUUU
Molecule: small nuclear RNA, 105 nt
Organism: Phyllostomus hastatus (greater spear-nosed bat)
Lineage: Eukaryota; Metazoa; Chordata; Mammalia; Chiroptera; Phyllostomidae
Source: RefSeq, a predicted model, not a curated record